CCCCACCAAGCCCAUAAGGCCCUGACCCCUGACUCCCAGUUUCAGAUCUCUGCUCUCUGACAGGUGGAAGGGGGAGAAUGUGGCCACAACCGAGGUGGCAGAGGUCUUCGAGGCCCUGGAUUUUCUUCAGGAGGUGAACGUCUAUGGAGUCACUGUGCCAGGGCAUGAAGGCAGGGCUGGAAUGGCAGCCCUAGUUCUGCGUCCCCCCCACUCUUUGGACCUUAUGCAGCUCUACACCCACGUGUCUGAGAACUUGCCACCUUAUGCCUGGCCCCGAUUCCUCAGGCUCCAGGAGUCUUUGGCCACCACAGAGACCUUCAAACAGCAGAAAGUUCGGAUGGCAAAUGAGGGCUUCGACCCCAGCACCCUGUCUGACCCACUGUACGUUCUGGACCAGGCUGUAGGUGCCUACCUGCCCCUCACAACUGCCCGGUACAGCGCCCUCCUGGCAGGAAACCUUCGAAUCUGAGAACUUCCACACCUGAGGCACCUGAGGGAGGGACUCUGUGGGGUGGGGGCCAUUGCAGGUGUACUGGGCUGUCAGGGAUCUUUUCUAUACCAGAACUGCGGUCACUAUUUUGUAAUAAAUGUGGCUGGAGCUGAUCCAGCUGUCUCUGA
RNAcentral lists this small RNA (618 nucleotides) under Pan troglodytes (chimpanzee). RNAcentral describes it as "retained intron". The record is from RNAcentral. Lineage: Eukaryota; Metazoa; Chordata; Mammalia; Primates; Hominidae.